RNAcentral lists this ribosomal RNA (430 nucleotides) under bacterium. Its description in RNAcentral is "partial 16S ribosomal RNA". It matches the Rfam family "Bacterial small subunit ribosomal RNA", at positions 355 to 776 of the family's 1533-position model. The record is from RNAcentral.
UGGGGAAUAUUGGACAAUGGGCGGAAGCCUGAUCCAGCCAUGCCGCGUGUGUGAAGAAGGCCUUUUGGUUGUAAAGCACUUUAAGCGAGGAGGAGGCUACUUGGAUUAAUACUCUAGGAUAGUGGACGUUACUCGCAGAAUAAGCACCGGCUAACUCUGUGCCAGCAGCCGCGGUAAUACAGAGGGUGCGAGCGUUAAUCGGAUUUACUGGGCGUAAAGCGUGCGUAGGCGGCUUCUUAAGUCGGAUGUGAAAUCCCUGAGCUUAACUUAGGAAUUGCAUUCGAUACUGGGAAGCUAGAGGAUGGGAGAGGAUGGUAGAAUUCCAGGUGUAGCGGUGAAAUGCGUAGAGAUCUGGAGGAAUACCGAUGGCGAAGGCAGCCAUCUGGCCUAAUACUGACGCUGAGGUACGAAAGCAUGGGGAGCAAACAGG